CACACAGGAGGCCCCGCCUUUCUCUAUUCCCCACAGCCCCUUCCUUGACCCCUCUACCUGUUGCUGAGGCCUGGACUCUGCCUGAGACCACCUGCCUGGUUCUUGGCUGCCUGUUUGGCCUUGUUUUUCUUGUUCUGGUUGUUCAACAUUGCUACAGCAGAGCUGCCUACAUGGGAUCUGGACUUUCUGAGCCCCUGCCCUCUGAGGGUGUCUAUGAAGACAUCGAACUUGUUCCUGUGGAGGAGAGAGAAGAGAGGCCCUCAGUGUUUGGGGGCCCAGUGCUGGAGGGUUAUGAUGACAUAGAAGAGACCCAGGAAGGCCAUGAGGAGGAAGCAGAGGAAGCAGAGUUGUCCAGAGUCCUACUCAGUCCCAUGGGUGGGGCUCCUCAUUUCCUUGGCCCUGAAGCUUAGCCAGGAAUAAAGUCCUAUUGUGGGCCAUGGCAAUCAUAUGCCUAUGAGCUGAUCAUGCAAACCAUAAAUGUGCUCAGAGCAUGAGAAGAAUGCAGGAGGGCUUUCUUACCUUCUUUCUUAAAAAUGUUAUUAAAUAUACUUUGAUUUCAC
Molecule: long non-coding RNA, 560 nt
Filed under: Chinchilla lanigera (long-tailed chinchilla)
Lineage: Eukaryota; Metazoa; Chordata; Mammalia; Rodentia; Chinchillidae
Description: lncRNA (ENSCLAG00000026728.1)
Source: RNAcentral